UGGACAGAAGGGAUUUCUGAAAA
This 23-nucleotide non-coding RNA is filed under the name Cricetulus griseus (Chinese hamster). The record is from RNAcentral. Lineage: Eukaryota; Metazoa; Chordata; Mammalia; Rodentia; Cricetidae.